This 736-nucleotide ribosomal RNA is filed under the name Lactiplantibacillus plantarum. RNAcentral's name for it is "bacterial SSU rRNA". It matches the Rfam family "Bacterial small subunit ribosomal RNA", at positions 371 to 1096 of the family's 1533-position model. The record is from RNAcentral. Lineage: Bacteria; Bacillati; Bacillota; Bacilli; Lactobacillales; Lactobacillaceae.
AUGGACGAAAGUCUGAUGGAGCAACGCCGCGUGAGUGAAGAAGGGUUUCGGCUCGUAAAACUCUGUUGUUAAAGAAGAACAUAUCUGAGAGUAACUGUUCAGGUAUUGACGGUAUUUAACCAGAAAGCCACGGCUAACUACGUGCCAGCAGCCGCGGUAAUACGUAGGUGGCAAGCGUUGUCCGGAUUUAUUGGGCGUAAAGCGAGCGCAGGCGGUUUUUUAAGUCUGAUGUGAAAGCCUUCGGCUUAACCGAAGAAGUGCAUCGGAAACUGGGAAACUUGAGUGCAGAAGAGGACAGUGGAACUCCAUGUGUAGCGGUGAAAUGCGUAGAUAUAUGGAAGAACACCAGUGGCGAAGGCGGCUGUCUGGUCUGUAACUGACGCUGAGGCUCGAAAGUAUGGGUAGCAAACAGGAUUAGAUACCCUGGUAGUCCAUACCGUAAACGAUGAAUGCUAAGUGUUGGAGGGUUUCCGCCCUUCAGUGCUGCAGCUAACGCAUUAAGCAUUCCGCCUGGGGAGUACGGCCGCAAGGCUGAAACUCAAAGGAAUUGACGGGGGCCCGCACAAGCGGUGGAGCAUGUGGUUUAAUUCGAAGCUACGCGAAGAACCUUACCAGGUCUUGACAUACUAUGCAAAUCUAAGAGAUUAGACGUUCCCUUCGGGGCACAUGGAUACAGGUGGUGCAUGGGUUGUCGUCAGCUCGUGUCGUGAGAUGUUGGGGUUAAGUCCGCAACGAA